Molecule: ribosomal RNA, 839 nt
Filed under: uncultured Chloroflexota bacterium
Lineage: Bacteria; Bacillati; Chloroflexota
Description: bacterial SSU rRNA
Rfam family: Bacterial small subunit ribosomal RNA
Source: RNAcentral
AAAACGUAGGAGGCAAGCGUUAUCCGGAUUUACUGGGCGUAAAGCGCGUGCAGGCGGCUUGUUAAGUCGUGCGUGAAAGCUCCCUGGCUCAACCGGGAGAGGUCGUGCGAUACUGGCAAGCUUGAGACAGGUAGAGGCAGGCAGAAUUCCGGGUGUAGUGGUGAAAUGCGUAGAUAUCCGGAGGAAUACCCGUGGCGAAGGCGGCCUGCUGGGCCUGAUCUGACGCUCAGACGCGAAAGCAUGGGGAGCGAACGGGAUUAGAAACCCCGGUAGUUCAUGCCGUAAACGAUGUCUCCUAGGCGUUGGGGCCUCGUGCCGCAGUGCCGAAGCAAACGCGAUAAGUAGACCGCCUGGGGRACUACGGCCGCAAGGCUAAAACUCAAAGGAAUUGACGGGGGCCCGCACAAGCAGCGGAGCGUGUGGUUUAAUUCGAGGCUACACGAAGAACCUUACCUAGGCUUGACAUGGUAGCGAAGUGAACCGAAAGGGGAUCGGCUUCGGGCGCUAUCACAGGUGCUGCAUGGCUGUCGUCAGCUCGUGUCGUGAGAUGUUCGGUUAAGUCCGGUAACGAGCGCAACCCUUAGUGUUAGUUACAAGUGUCUAACACGACUGCCCGGAUAAACUGGGAGGAAGGUGGGGAUGACGUCAAGUCAGCAUGGCCUUUAUGUCUAGGGCUACACACACGCUACAAUGGCCAGUACAGUCGGUUGCCAACCCGCGAGGGGGAGCCAAUCCACCAAAGCUGGUCUCAGUUCGGAUUGUAGGCUGCAACUCGCCUGCAUGAAGUUGGAGUUGCUAGUAAACGCUGGUCAGCUAUACAGCGUUGAAUACGUUCCCGG